Molecule: long non-coding RNA, 3626 nt
Organism: Gallus gallus (chicken)
Lineage: Eukaryota; Metazoa; Chordata; Aves; Galliformes; Phasianidae
Source: Ensembl
CGGAAGUUUCCUUUUGAACUUGAGUUCUGGGGGAGAAGUCCUUCAUCAAGCUAUAUGAAUUGCACUCUAGAAAUCAAUCCAGAUGUGACAAGCCUACAGGAGUACUGCAAGAACAGCCAACAUAAAAAUGUUCAGUAAAAUUGUUCAGAAGUAAAAGAGUCCCUGAGUGCACUGUCCAAGCCAUUGUGCUUCACUCCAUGUAGCCAAGAUGGGUCAUUGAUCUUCUGACUUCCCCAGCAAUGUUGACAGGCUUCUCACCGUUUUCGUAGAGCAGCAAUCAUCUGAGAAUUAACACCUGCCUACCACUAUAUUCUUGAGGACUUUUUUGCACAUACCAAGUCCCAUCUUGUUAGUCAUCCAUGUCUCGAUUUUUUUUUCACAUGAAUGGGUUUAUGUGUGACAUCCAUUAAGAAAACUACAGGGUAUAAAGUGCUGGGAAAAAAAUAAAAAAGACUAAUGUUGCCAAUGUGUUUCUAACUUCAGCAAGUCUUUAUUGAUGCUUCAUUAGUAACAUACAGAGACAUAAAGAAGGUGUGAGCUGGGCUUGGCAACAUAUUACUGACUGUCUUUAUCAUAUAUAAAAAACAGGCUUUGCAUAAAGAGAAAGCAUCAUGUUAAAUCUAUGUUCAAAAUUAUUCCUCUCAUUCCACACCCCUUCUCCCUGAGCCCCAACAUUUCUUCUUCAAAAGAUAAAUGUGAAGGUCAGGAGUAAAACUGAAACAAUCAGCCCAUUUCUACUGUGGCAAAAAAAAAAAAAAAAAAAAACAUAAAUGUUUCCAGGGAAAAUAGAGUGAAGACAAGGUUGAAAUUUCCAAUCUGAGGGCUGAUGUGCAAGGCUGCCAGCAUGGAUUACAGUCAUGAAAAAGACUGAUGCAUUUAGUGUCUCAUCAUGUAGAAGGACCCAUCUGUAUCAUUGGACUCCAGUGGACACUGUCAGUAGCCCUAAGACACAGCCAAGCAAAUUCCCUUGCAAGUCUAGUUCAUGACCGCUCCUUGAAAUGAAAUGAAAGUGGCUGUGCAGGAGUGGAAGGAGUUCAGCAAUAUGUAUUACAGAGAGCCAGGCCAUAGACAACUGCAUUCUGUUACAAUGAUAGGCUCUGGUUUUAUGUGUAUUGCCUUGGACAAAUCACCCCCACUCAUUUUCACAUGCAGCUUCAGGGACAGAGGAACAUUGCUUCAGCUCUGCUUUUGUGCACUUAAUAGUUGUGGACAAAGGAGUCGGCAACUUGAAAUUAAGCCUGUAAAAAGGAUGGUGCCCAACGCUCUACAUUCUGGUCUGGACUGGCUCAUUCACACUGUUUCCUUGGGCUCAUCAUAACCCACGAUAACUCUGGGAAAGUUGGAAAAACUGCCCUUUCUCAGGCCACAACAGCAGAAACCUCCAAGAGAUUAAGCUGCUGAUUCUUCCUUCAGUCUACUGAAAAUGGAGACAACUCCCACAGCAAAAUGCACGUUAAAUCAUAUAUUCCUCUGAAAGUAGUAGUUCUCCAGUCCUACCUUCCCCUCAUCUACCAUCUGGUUCAAAGACAUAGACAUAGCACACUGCCUUCAGAUUUAAGACAAACUAUUUUAUGAAGAGCAUAAGACAAUGAAGCAUUGGCCACUGUUGGCUUUGAUUAGUUAUUUCAUUCUUUACUAAAGUUUACAUGCUGAAAUUAAAACUGCAAAGCACAAGGGGAAAAAUAACAGUUACUUAUAUACCAAGAUCUUUAAUCUGAAAACAUGAAAGAAAUAUUUAUUUACAAUUUUGAUAUUGAGUAGUGCUUAAAAAAAAAAAAAUCACCUUGCUUGAAGGUAUUCUGUUGAUUUAUUUAUAUUCCUAUUGCUACUUUCUUUAUAAACAUGGCACUGGAGCCACCACUGGUACUCCUCUGCGUUAUUGGUGUGAGCAGUAGGAGUAACACACUUCCAGUUAGCACCUGUUGGAAUGAUUACAAAGAGGCAGGCAGUCUGUGAAUUAAGUCUCAUACUUCUGUUUGUUGGUAUUUUUUUUUCAACUUCACACAUCUCUUUUUAGCAUAUUUCCUUCCUUUCUUGAACUACGUCCAAGAACUUCACAUAAAUGGAAUAAUCCACGGAUGCUAAAUACUGAAAUGUAAACAUACAAACACUGUGAUUAGUUCCUCAAACUCUGAUGAAAGCUGUUGUGUGUUUUUUGAAGAUUAUUAAAAAUAAACAUCUUACAAAAGACAUUUACAAUUUGCCACCUUUGAUUCCCACUCCUACCUCACUGAUUUUUUUUGGCAGCAGCCAGUGCAAUGGAGAUGUGGAAGAGCAGAUAUUGCUUAAGGGAAUUACUCUUUUUUUCCUAGAUUACAAAUGACACCAUGUUGCAAAACACAACUAAAAUGAGAUUUCUUAAUAAGACAGGUCAAGCAGAAGUUCUAAAAUCUGUUUUCUUUCCUUACCAAAGAAGAAAUGGGUUCAGCUCGUAUCCAAGACACAGAGAGUAUUAAAGUCCAGGACUUGCUUGAGCCCUUCCUGUUCGUUUUCAUUUUAUUUUAUUUUAUUUUAUUUUAUUUUAUUUUAUUUUAUUUUAUUUUAUUUUUGCUUCAGCAUAUAUAAUAAGAAACUCAGCUACUGCUGUGAGUAUCAGUAAAUGACAACCUGCUAAAUACUGUGAAUCACAUGUUUUAAAAAAUGGAACAAACCAAUACUGCAUUAGUUUUGGUUUGGCACAGCUCCAUUAUGGCCGCUGCUUUCGGGUGGAAGGCAGUUUGGAGAGCUGCCAGCAGCACUGCUAAAGCAAACAAGCCAUAAAAUCUAGCACACAGUGGGAAAGAACAAAAUUAUUUUGGCAAGAAAAUGCUGUCAGCAACAACACAGCAUCCUCACAUACAAUUUUAAACACCCCUACAUUAUCGCGUAACACUUUAAAACUCUUUAACACAGUAUAAACUUGUCCAUCUUAAAUAACAAAAUUAACAGCUGACAGCUUUUUCCAUUAUUGCUUCUUUCCCACAUAUUCAUUAGUGCUGUCUGACAUUCCUUGUUAAGUACAUUCCCCAGAGUGACAAAUGUGUCUAGUAGUGUGCAUGCUUAAUACACUACGGUAACAAAACUCUUCUUAGGUUUUUCCAUGUACUAACUGCCUUUCCAAAUUGAUUUAUAGCUUUUGCCAGAGGUGUUUUAUUCAUGCUACGUGGAAUGCAGAGAAGCCAUGUAGUUAACUACCCAUGAAAACGCUAACAGUUGCAGAAAAAAACAUUUGCAAAACAUAAAAGAGGAAUACUGGUUGCCUGUCCAACACUUACAGAAGUGACUUUACUGUUGCUACCAAGCCAGGGUAGUCAAUACAAGCAUUCAAUUAUUUUCAUCUCUGCAUAUGGUGCAAGACUAAUUAUUCCACCUCUGUCUCCUUAUAGAUCCACUAUGAAAUUCCAGUCAGAGAUCCAUAGUCAGAUGUAACCAAGCAGUAUUUCAUGCAUGCUAUCAUUUGUCUUAAAAUUACAGUUCUAAAGUGCAAGAUUUAUCAGUGCUAUUAUUGUUCCUGUAAACAACUCAAAACCCCUUUCAAAUAGAAUUCUUAUCUCUCUUUCAUUGGUCAGUCAUGUACUUCGAUAAUCGGUGUGGAGUGAUCAUUAGCCAAACCGGAUCAGAGUACAAUAGUACCCCACAUACUUCUA